This 314-nucleotide ribosomal RNA is filed under the name uncultured Pterocystis. RNAcentral describes it as "partial large subunit ribosomal RNA". It matches the Rfam family "Eukaryotic large subunit ribosomal RNA", at positions 40 to 350 of the family's 3401-position model. The record is from RNAcentral. Lineage: Eukaryota; Centroplasthelida; Acanthocystida; Acanthocystidae.
AUAUAAUUAAGCGGAGGAAAAGAAACUAACAAGGAUUCCCUUAGUAACGGCGAGUGAAGCGGGAACAGCUCAAGCUUAAAACCUGUGCCUUCGGGUACCGGAUUGUAGCGUAAAGAAGGAGCGUCCGGGCGAACGAUGACCUAAAUGCCUCAGGAAUAGGCUGCCAAAGAGGGUGAGAGCCCCGUUCAAGGUUGUCGACCUCGUCUUUUGUGAUGCCCUUUCAUCGAGUCGGGCUGCUUGAGAGUGCAGCCCUAAGUGGGUGGUAUACUUCAUCUAAAGCUAAAUAUUGACACGAGACCGAUAGCGCACAAGUA